This 205-nucleotide long non-coding RNA is filed under the name Salvia miltiorrhiza (redroot sage). RNAcentral's name for it is "long non-coding RNA (SMIL_LNC003739)". The record is from RNAcentral. Lineage: Eukaryota; Viridiplantae; Streptophyta; Magnoliopsida; Lamiales; Lamiaceae.
AUUAAUUUAAUCCAAGGUUAGAAUGGUAAUUUAUUUAUUUAAUCUAAGUUUUAAUCUAAAUUGCCAAACAACUAAUUCAUAUAUCUAUAUUUUAUCCAAAAAAAAUAAUCAUAUAUCUACUAAGUUACGAUACUAACGUCGCUCUAUUUGUGAUACAUAUCAUGAAUUUUAUCUAUUUUGACUUAUCUCAACAAGGCUAUCAAAC